UUUUUCCCUCCUUAUGUAACCCAUAAAUAAUGCAGAAAUUGGUGCCGGGAGUGGGAUUUGAAAGUAACAGACAUAAAAACUAUGGAGCUGUCCAAAUAGAAGCCAAGUGCACACGAUUGCUUCGAUCAACAGAGUAGAGCAGAAGCAAUACUAUGUGGUAUUACGGUUUCUGUCUUACACUCUUUGGUCACUUGUUUUGGGGAAGCCAGCUGCCAUGUUGUGAGAACACUCAAGAAGUCCUCUGGAGAGGUCCACGUGGAGAAGAACUGAGGCCUCCUGCCAACAGCCAGCAGUAACUUUACAGGCAUCUGAACAAGAAUGCUUGGAAGUGGAUCCACCAGCCCCACUCAGGCUUUUUUGUGAGUUAAGUCCCAGCUGAUCUCUUAACUGCGACCCUGUGAGAGACUCUGAGCCAGAACCACCCAGUUAAACUGCUCUCAAAUUCCUGAUCCUCAGAACUCUGUAAAACUGUAAAUGUUUAUUGUUUUAAGCUGUUUAGUUUGGGGUAAUUUGUCACUCAGCAAUAGAUAACUAAUGCGGAUUUGAUGCCAGGAGUGGGGUCAAUAACAAAUACCUAAAAAUAUGGAAGUGGCUUUGGAACUGGGUAGUAAGCAGAGGCUAGAAAGAUUCUGAGAUAGUGUUAGUGAAAAUCAGAAAAUCUUGUGUUAAUUAUCUAUUGCUGUAUAAAAAUAUUAGCACAAACUUAGCAGCUUAGCACAACACACAUUUAUUUCCUCACAGUUUCUGUGGAGUCAGGAGUCUGGGCAUGGCUUAGCUGGGUCCUCUGCUUAGGGUCUCACAUGGCUUUGAUCAAGGUGUUGGCUUUGGUUGUGGUCUCAUCUAAGACUCGACUGGGGAAGGGUCCUCUUUCAGUGGCAGAGUUCAGUUCCUUGCAGCUCUAGGACUGAGAACUUUAGUUUUCUGCUGGCUGCUAGCCAGAGGCCAUCUUCAGCUCCGAGAGAUUGCCUGAAGUUCCAUGACAUGUGGGCCUCCCAAUGGAGGGGGCCCUGUGGGGCAGCCCACAAAAUGGCAGCUCGCUUUUUCAAAGCCAGCGAAGGAGUAAGAAAGACUCCAGGAAGACAGGUGCUACGAACUUAUGUAACAUAAUCAUGUACAUGUAGUCAUGUACAUCCUGCCACCUUUAAUAUUCUAUUGGUUAGGAGCAAGUCACACGUCCUGGCUACACUCAAGGGGAGAGGAUUACACAAAGGUGUGAAUACCAGGAAGUGGGGAUCGUAGGGGGCCACUUUAAGACUCUGUGCACCACAGCCCCAAGGAUACUUUCAGUAGAAGCCUAACAGCCUUUGAUAAGCUGACAGUAAAGGCUGAAGGAAGUGAGGAAAAUGUUAUCGGAUACUCAAGGCAAGGAGACCCUUGUUACACAGGGGCAGGACAUUUAGCAACACUGUCACCUGUGGUAAUGUGGAAAGUAGAAAGCGUACCUGAUGAACUGUGUGAUCCAGCUAAGGAGGUUUCCAGGCAAAAUGUUGAAGGUACCACCUCAUUUCUUCUUGCUGCUUAGAGUAAAAUGUGAGAGGAGAGAUAUAAACUGAUAGAAGCACUUUAGACAAAACGGAGUUAGGACUUGAAGAUUUUGAGAGUUCCCAGCCUCUCCGGACAGCAACCACACUAAAAAUAAGAAAGGGCUUCUGGGAAAAGAGCAAAUACAGAGCACUGUCAGGAAAAUACGGCACAAGGUGGAAGCCCCAGGUAUGGCUGUGAAAUCCCUUGUUAAGGCCCCAGAAAGGUCUAAGGCAAUAGAACCUUUCAGCCAACCAAUAAGUCUUUCAGGAAGCUUACAGGCAUUGUCUAUCAGCAUAAGCCCAAGGUCAAGAGGGGCUUAUCUCAAAAAGAUUUGUGGGCCAAAUUUAAUGGAGUGAACCCCAAUAAGAUUCAUAGAAAUCUACAAAGUUUUUAGAAUUGUAUUGGCAGAAAUACGGCCAACUUGGAGUGUAAAGGACAGAAAUAUUAUAAAUGAAAAACAGG
This is a long non-coding RNA of Equus caballus (horse), 1986 nucleotides long. The record is from Ensembl. Lineage: Eukaryota; Metazoa; Chordata; Mammalia; Perissodactyla; Equidae.